GAUCCUGGCUCGGGAUGAACGCUAGCGACAGGCUUAACACAUGCAAGUCGAGGGGCAGCGGGGUGUAGCAAUACACCGCCGGCGACCGGCGCACGGGUGAGUAACGCGUAUCCAACCUGCCCACCACUUGGGGAUAACCUUGCGAAAGUAAGACUAAUACCCAAUGAUAUCUCUAGAAGACAUCUGAAAGAGAUUAAAGAUUUAUCGGUGAUGGAUGGGGAUGCGUCUGAUUAGCUUGUUGG
This 242-nucleotide ribosomal RNA is filed under the name uncultured bacterium. RNAcentral describes it as "partial 16S ribosomal RNA". It matches the Rfam family "Bacterial small subunit ribosomal RNA", at positions 15 to 252 of the family's 1533-position model. The record is from RNAcentral.